This 492-nucleotide ribosomal RNA is filed under the name uncultured bacterium. Its description in RNAcentral is "partial 16S ribosomal RNA". It matches the Rfam family "Bacterial small subunit ribosomal RNA", at positions 29 to 507 of the family's 1533-position model. The record is from RNAcentral.
AGUGAACGCUGGCGGUAGGCCUAACGCAUGCAAGUCGAACGGCAGCACAGUAAGAGCUUGCUCUUACGGGUGGCGAGUGGCGGACGGGUGAGGAAUACAUCGGAAUCUACUUUUUCGUGGGGGAUAACGUAGGGAAACUUACGCUAAUACCGCAUACGACCUACGGGUGAAAGCAGGGGAUCUUCGGACCUUGCGCGAUUGAAUGAGCCGAUGUCGGAUUAGCUAGUUGGCGGGGUAAAGGCCCUCCAAGGCGACGAUCCGUAGCUGGUCUGAGAGGAUGAUCAGCCACACUGGAACUGAGACACGGUCCAGACUCCUACGGGAGGCAGCAGUGGGGAAUAUUGGACAAUGGGCGCAAGCCUGAUCCAGCCAUACCGCGUGGGUGAAGAAGGCCUUCGGGUUGUAAAGCCCUUUUGUUGGGAAAGAAAAGCAGCAGGUUAAUACCCCGCUGUUCUGACGGUACCCAAAGAAUAAGCACCGGCUAACUUCGUG